AUGCUGGGGAUGGCAACCUAGUAUCUAAGUGGUGUUAGCUAGUGUCAACAAUUACCGGUCUCUAUCACCAUGAAGUCUACUAGGGCGUACAAGGUACCAACUCGGACACAAAGGUUCUUCAAUAUUCCCUUGGUGAAACUUAUCGUCUGAUCUGCAAACUGCAAACACAUGGUUUUUUCUGAUAAAGGAUAUGUAAAGAAUUUUCCAUAGAGUACCCUGGGUAUAAUGUUGACGCUGGAGCCAAAGUCGCAGAGUGCUUCUGGGACGUCCACCAUGCCCAUGGAGAUCGGGAUGACGGGGUGUCCUGGAUCGCCUCUCUUGACCGGCAGAGGGUCAUUAGUGAAUUCAGUGACGGGGUUACUCUAAUUACCUGCAUCAAACAUGUCUACAAGAUUUGCAGAUUCUAAUCCUUCCGGUUGUGAUGGUAUACGGGGGUUAGUAGCAGGAACAGCAGCAGCUAUUUGAUUUAACUGAGAUUCAAUCAUUUUAUUAAAGCUAAUUUGAUUCUUGAUGGCAGUAGAGAAAUUAUCCAUUCUAUUAUUUAUAUUUUCUAGCAUUUUAUCAUUAGAUGCCAAUUUCUUAGAUAGGUUAUCCAUUAGCUUUCCUUGAUUAGACACUAACUCUCUUAGAGGUGAAAAAUUAUUAUUAUUGUUGUAAGAAUUGUUACCUUGAUAAUUACCUGAGUAGUCAGGCCUCUGUUGAUUCCAACCUUGAUUUUGUUG
RNAcentral lists this long non-coding RNA (722 nucleotides) under Sorghum bicolor (sorghum). Its description in RNAcentral is "long non-coding RNA (SBIC_LNC016282)". Lineage: Eukaryota; Viridiplantae; Streptophyta; Magnoliopsida; Poales; Poaceae. The record is from RNAcentral.